This is a non-coding RNA of Arachis ipaensis, 934 nucleotides long. The record is from RefSeq and is a predicted model, not a curated record. Lineage: Eukaryota; Viridiplantae; Streptophyta; Magnoliopsida; Fabales; Fabaceae.
CAUGCCCUGCCCCAAUACCCCCGUAUUUGCCAUCCCAGACCCCACCCCUCUCUUUCUCUCUGAAAAUUGGAGAACCCUAAUCCCCAAACGGCCAAACUCCUCUCCUCCGAACUUCGAACGUAGCCUGUAGCCACCAUUUCUCUUCGAAGUCAUCGUCACUCUUCUCCUCCGCACAGACGGUGGGUGCGAUGUCGCGUGUGGAAGGCUGGAAGCUCUGUUCGGUGGAAGUUCGAACGCAGCCCGCAACCGUCAUCCCUCUUCUCAUCCUUCCUCAUUUCGCUGCCGUCGUAGGAAGGUCUCCUACUCUCCUCUCCUCUCCUCUCAUCGUUCUCGGUCAUCGUCUCCUCUGUUCGACCUCUCUCUCUGUCUUUGCCUGUAGUUCCCGCUCCUCCGUCGCCGUCACUUCCUUUCUUCCCUUACCGCCAGCUCUCAUGUUUUUGCUUUUCUUUUGUAUUGAUGUUGAAAAUGCAAUUCUCAUAGUGGAUAGAGUAAGUUUCUAAACCCAAUAAGAAAGCAGUUAAUAAAGCAUUGUUAGGUGCAAAAGAAGCUAUGCUUGAGAUUAGAUGAGGCUGCAGGUGUUCCUUUCAUGCAGAUUGAACCAGAAUCACAAACAAAACUUUUGGAUGCUACACUGAACUUGGAAGGAGUGUUGUUGGCUGGAGUUCCAGGAGCACCAGGAACAGGAGGAUUUGAUGUUGUCUUUGCUGUUACUUUGGGAGAUUCAAGCAACAAUGUGAAAAAAAUAUGGAGCUUACUCAAUGUUAUUUAAUAUUUAAAAUUAUUGAAUUUAAUUAUUUGAAAUUGUAUAUUAAAUUUUUAAUAAUUUUAUUUAAUAUUUAAUUAAACCGAUUGAACUCCGGUUGAAUCUCGGUCGAACCGUUAAACCAGUGAAUCAGUCACCUUACCGGUUUGUUGACCGGUUCGGUUUUCGCAA